RNAcentral lists this ribosomal RNA (445 nucleotides) under uncultured bacterium. Its description in RNAcentral is "bacterial SSU rRNA". It matches the Rfam family "Bacterial small subunit ribosomal RNA", at positions 355 to 822 of the family's 1533-position model. The record is from RNAcentral.
UGGGGAAUAUUGGACAAUGGGCGCAAGCCUGAUCCAGCCAUGCCGCGUGAGUGACGAAGGCCUUAGGGUUGUAAAGCUCUUUUUGGCGGGGAAGAUAAUGACGGUACCCGCAGAAUAAGCUCCGGCUAACUCUGUGCCAGCAGCCGCGGUAAUACAGAGGGUGCAAGCGUUAAUCGGAUUUACUGGGCGUAAAGCGCGUGUAGGCGGGUCGUUAAGUUGGGGGUGAAAUCCCGAGGCUCAACCUCGGAACUGCCUUCAAAACUGGCGACCUGGACUCAAGCAGAGGCAAGUGGAAUUGCGAGUGUAGAGGUGAAAUGCGUAGAUAUCGGAAAGAACAUCAGUGGCGAAGGCGGCUUCCUGGACUCAUACUGACGCUGAGGCACGAAAGCAUGGGGAGCAAACAGGAUUAGAUACCCAGGUAGUCCCUGAGCGGGCUGGCAAGGCG